AUUGAACUCAUUUCCAUGGGUACACAACAGCAUGAGGCGUCCAGUUCCUGGGCGGCUGCUGAGAGAUGGGCUCACCUCAGAGAAAGGACUCUCUUGGCAAAGGUACGUGACAGGCAGGUGCUGGUAACCGAACCCCCCCCAGGAGCCCGGUUCUGAUCAGAACUCAUGAACCCCAGCUGCUCUGCUCCGCCGCUCGAAGCCUUAUCAUCGGCCUGCUGUGCUCCGAAAAAGUCGAAAGGAUUUGGUUUUCACCAAAACAUAAUCAUUUACCUCUCACGCAUUUUCUGUCUGACUCAUCCAGUAUUGUUUCUGUAAUGGGGCUUAACACAAAG
This is a long non-coding RNA of Acanthopagrus latus (yellowfin seabream), 332 nucleotides long. RefSeq lists it as uncharacterized. The record is from RefSeq and is a predicted model, not a curated record. NCBI's taxonomy places the organism in Eukaryota, Metazoa, Chordata, Actinopteri, Spariformes, Sparidae. The transcript has 4 exons.